This 6150-nucleotide long non-coding RNA is filed under the name Capsicum annuum. RNAcentral describes it as "long non-coding RNA (CANN_LNC019598)". The record is from RNAcentral. Lineage: Eukaryota; Viridiplantae; Streptophyta; Magnoliopsida; Solanales; Solanaceae.
ACUCUUUGAUAAAAAGAAAUAUUUAUACGUCUAAAGACAAAGAAAAAGAAAUUAUUGUCGAUUGCCUUGAAAAACAAAUUAAAUUUGAUACCUUAAAAUGCUGCAAUAUUAUCUCUUAUCACACAGGGUAAUUCGUGAAAUCAUACUCAAAACAACCAAUUAUGACAUUUUCAACUGUGGGAAGUAACGAAAUCAACCUCGAAAUGACACGAUCAGAACCAGGGUUUGGUCAAGACGGGUAUCCCAAGUGCAACAAGGACCGGAGACCGCCCCCAACACCCAAACCAUCGGCCACCUUACACCCAUGUCGGAUGAAUUCUGAACAUAUAACAAGAUAAGAGAACUUGAAAUUAAAGAUAUUAUGAUGUGUAUAACCAAACCAACCAACACCCAAACCACCCCAAGUCCAUAGUAGUCCAACAAAGCCUCUACCAAAGUGAAUAUUAAUAAUGUGUCGGGACAUGCCCCCGACUAUAUUCAAAAAUAGUGUUCAAUAGUCUAUAACUCAAGAAAACAUAAUCCUGAAAUAGAGCCAUUCGAAGCAUGGAAGCUCACCACUUCAAGUCGACUCUUGAUCAAUCCACAAUCACUGAGCAGGAGAAGUAGAGGUAUGGCCAAAUCCUGCAUCGCGUGGGGAUAAAGCGUCCAAAGACGGUUAGCAGGGUGAACGCUAGCAUAUAACUUGGGGACAAAGAUAAAAUAAUGCCACAAUCAAUAAUUUCAAAUCAUUCAAAUCCAAUGCACACAAUCAAAUGCAUAUACGUAUACUUAUAACAUGUCGGGACCGAAAACAAGGCUUAACAUGCACUUUAAAAUCUUAACAUGAAUUGUGUAGCUCAACCAUGAUAUCAUAGUACCCACGAGUUAUAUGUGCCCCAGUUCUCACCACGGUCGGGCUCUAGUGCGUGUAGCCGCACAAAUCGAAAAAUAAUCUCAUAUAUAUAUGUGCGGGGGACUCGAACCUCCUAACCAUAUACUAAGGUGACUUAAGCACUCGAUUACAUAAUGAUUUACUCGGGACUCAAACCAAUCAUAAUAAUAACAAUAAGGUGGACUCGAACCACUUGGUCACAAGCAAGGGGACUCGAACCCUCACACCAUAAUGACCCCCGCACCGGCUAGCGUGGUUUUCAAUAUUGAUCACUUGGACCUCCACUUUCACGACUCAGCUACACAACCUUCUUUUAAAGCCCAAUUAAAAACAUUUAUCACAUAUUUUUAUUCAUUGAACCAUAUUUCACAUUAAGACAUAUAUUGUUGGUAUCAUCAUACCAACUACACUUGCAAGGUAAUAACAACAUGCCGAGACAAUUUUCAUUAACUUGGGAAGAACAACUCCCUUUGUUCAUUAAUACAAGGUGGGGGAACCCUGACUCUCUUUGUUUAUUAAAUCAGACCAUUGUGUUUCAAAUACCUCUUUCUAUAAUGCAAUAGUUCAAGACUAGUUCAAUUUUAUAAAUUCCCACAUUUCUCAUAAUUAAAAUCCAAUUUCUCAUUAUGGGGUUGGGGUCAUAAUUACUUCAAAAGUCACAAGCUUGAGAAAACCAUAAUUUCCUAGUUCAUUCACCAUACUCAUGCACCCACAAGUUCAAAACCAUAUUUAAAGCAUGAAAAUUAUAUAUAAACCAUGAGAAACAUUGUUCAAUUUAUAAAUAACUAAAAACCCCAACCGUUGUUUCAAAACCAACAUAAACAUCCCAUGAAUAAUACUUUCAAACACAUGCUUUUACAAAAUUAACAAUGAGGGAAGAGUAACAUGCAUGAAAUAGUAAGAUGUACAGAGAGAAAUCACCCUUGAAAGCCCUAAGUGGUCAACCUCUUAAAAACCCUAAGUGUUCUUGACCUUGAGGAUUUAAGAGUAAUUGAGGAGUUACUUUGAUGUGUUUUUUUGGGCUAAUAAUACCCUAAAGAGGUUAUAAGAUGUGUAUUUCAGUUUGGGUAAGAGGAAAAAUAUCCAGAAUGCCCUUAACUUAAAAGUUACAAAAAGUGCCACCUUUGACUACGAGUCAACCCUUGACUCGUAGCCACUCCUUACGACUCGUUACCACGAGUCGUAACCAAGGUAUUACUACCAAGGCACCCUAACUGUUAUCCUUACAACUUAAUGGCACCACCCGUACUGGGACCCUAGGACUCGUAUGGUCCAGUCAUAGUCAAUACAAAACCCAAAUUAGGACUUACACUGGACACCCUAUGAUUACACCUAAUGACUCGUGACAUAUCCUUAUGGCUUUUAGUGAGCCACUCAUACUCAGAGCAAAAUCAAGACACAAACUUACUGAAUUGGUUAUGACUUAUCCCGACGACAUGUCAAGACACCCUAUGACUCAUAGGGUGAGUCGUUACCAAGGUAGUAAGCUUAAGGCUAAUGAAGUUUUCAAGGGCCAAAAGCCAGGGUAUUUCAAUUCUUCCCCACUUGGAUCGUUUGUUCACGAAUGAUGGGUCAAGGCAAUUGCUAUCAUGAUUUGACUCCACAUACCUCUACUCUUACCUUUAACAAAGACAAAAAACAAAGAUACCAACGAAAUCACACUUUCUUUUAACAAAGUAAAAAAACAAAGAUGCUAAGAAAUACACAUACCUUUAGCACGAUUAUCCUGAGCAAAAAACAAGAAUGGAUACUUGGACUUCAUGUUCUCUUCGGCUUCCCACAUAGCUUCCUCCACCGUUUGGUUCAUCUAUAGAACCUUUACCAAAGCCAUGCCCCUUGUUUGCAGCCGACAAAUAUAUCGAUCCAAGAUUUCAACUGGGACUUCUUCAUAAGAUAAAGAAUCUAAAAUACUUCCCUCAUCCAAAGGAAUAACCGUCAAAGGAUCACUUAUGCUCUUUCUCAACAUCGAAAUGUCAAACACUAGAUGAAUGGAGCUCAAACUAGACGGCAACUCUAAUUCAUAUGCAACAUUACCAACCCUCUUCAACACCAAGUAUAGACCGACAUAAUGGGGACUGAGUUUUCCUUUCUUACCAAACCACAUCACUCCCUUCAUGGGGGACACCUUUAAGAAUACCCAAUCACUAACCUUCUUCGGCUCACAUACGCGUAGGACUUUUGGUGACAUUAGGCAGCUUUACGUCUAUCUCAAAUCACUUUCACCUUCUUAAUGGCUUGGUGAACCAAAUCAGGGCCAAAUAUCUCUACCUCAGCAACCUCGAACCACCCAAUAAGAUAUCUACACCUCCUACCAUAUAACGCCUUAAACAAAGACAUGCUAAUACUAGAGUAGUGGCUAUUAUUAUACGCAAACUCAAUAACAGGAAAAUAAUCAACCCAGCUACCACCACAGUCAAUCACACAAGCUCAAAGCAUAUCUUUCAAUGUAUGAAUAGUUCUUUUUGCUUGCCUAUUCAACAAUGGGUGGAAAGUAGUACUAAGGCUCACCUUAAUUCCCAAACUUCUUUGAAAAGAACACCAAAAGUGUGAUAAGAACUAACUACCAUGAUCUGACAUGCUAGCAAUAGGUGCCCCAUACAACUUCACAAUCUCCUGGAGGAACAACUUUGCAUAGUCUUCUGCCGAAAAGUUAGUUUUCACUGGCAAGAAGUGAGCAAACUUAGUCAUCCUAUCCACGAUGACCUAAAUUGAAUCAAAUUGAUUCAGAGAUCAAGGAAUAUUGUUAAUGAAGUCUAUAUUAAUCACUUCCCAGUUCCAUGCAGGCAAUUCAAUUUCUUAAUACAAACUUUCAAGCCGUAAGUGCUCAACCUUUACUUGUUGAAACACCAUACAUUUAGCCAUAAAACUGGCCAUAUCUCACUUCAUAUUGUUCCACUAAUAAAUCUCCUUAAGAUCAUGAUACAUCUUUAUUAAAACAGGAUGAAUGGCAUAAUGCGACUCAUGAGCCUCAACCAAGAUCCUCUAUUGCAACUAAUCUACAUCGGGAAUACAUAAUCUGCCUUGGUACCUCAAGAUACCAUUUCCACCAAUCUCAAAAGCUACAACCUUUUGUUGUGCCACAUCUCCCUUAAUCUUCAUUAAGACAAGAUCCAGUACCUGCAUCUCCUUUAACAAGGGAUGACUUUGCCACCUCUUGCACUAACAUACCACCAUCCUCAGAGUCCAAGAGACAAACUCUAAGGUUAGCUUAAUAGUGAAUAUCUUUCACCAAAUCUCGCUUAUCCUCAUCCACAUGAUCUAGACUCCCCAUGGAUAACCUACUAAGAGCAUCAACAACCAUAUUAAUUUACCUGGGUGGUAGUGGAGACUCAUGUCGUAGUCUUUUAGUAACUCAAGUCACUUUCUCUCUUUGAGAUUCAACUCCUUCUAGGUGAACACAUAUUCCAGGAUCUUAUGAUCAGAAAAGAUAUCUAUAUGGACUUCAUAUAAAUAGUGAUGCCAAAUAUUCAAUGCAAACACCAUAACUAGUAAUUCCAAAUCAUGGGUUGGAUAAUUCUUCUAAUUAACUUUCAACAAUCUAGAGGCAUAAGCAACUACCUUUCCAUGUUGUAUUAACACAUAGCUAAGUCCUAUACGGGAAAGAUCACAAUAAAUCACAAAUCCAUCAUUGGCCUCGGGUAGGGUCAAAACUGAAUCUAAAAUCAACUUAUCUUUCAACUUCUCGAAACUACCCUCACAUAUCAGACCACAAUAACUUUACCUUUUUCUAGGUCAACUUAGUCAGCGGGGUAUCUAUAGUUGAAAAACUCUCCACAAAUCUCCUAUAGUAACCGGCUAAACCAAGAAGCUUUGAAUAUCAGUUGGAGCAUGGGCCUAGGCCACUUUUUAAUACUGCACCUUUCUGCGGAUCCACCAUGAUUCCUUCAUUAAAAAUGACAUGACCCAUAAAAGUAACAACUCUCAACCAGGACUCACACUUUAAAAACCUAACAUACAAAUAUUGAUCCUUCAAGGUUUGCAACACGAUACAAAGAUGAUCGACAUGAUCCGCCUCACUCUUAGAAUACACCAGAAUAUCAUUUAUAAACACAAUAAUAGAUAAACCUAGAAAUUGAUGGAAGACCCUAUUUAUCAAGUCCAUGAAUAUCGUCGGGGAAUUAGUUAAACCAAAGAACAUGACUAUAAACUAAUAAUGACCAUACUGGAUUCAAAUGGCAGUUUUAGGGAUAUCCACCUCCAUAAUCUUUAGCUGAUGAUAACCAAACCUAAGAUCAAUCUUAGAGAAACAUCAAGCAACCUUAAGCUGGUAAAAAAAUCAUCAAUCCAAGGAAGAGGAUACUUAUUCUUCACCAUAACCCUAUUUAAUUGAAGGUAAUCGAUGCACGUCUGAAGGGAAUCAUCCUUCUUACGUACGAACAAAAUAAGAGCACCCCACGAAGACACAUUAGGAUGGAUAAAACCCUUGUCAAGAAGGUCUUUCAAUUGCUCCUUCAACUCAGUCGGAGCUAUUCUAUAAGGAGGGAUAGAGAUAAAAUGAGUGUCCAAAACAAGGUUAAUCCCAAAUCAAUCUCCCUAUCAAGAAGGACACCAGGAAGAUCAUCGGAAAAAAUCUCGGGGAAAUCAUUAACCAUAGGAAUGGAUUGUAAGAAAGGACCCUCCGAGUUAGAAUCUUUAACCCAGACCAAAUGAUAAAGACAUCCCUUGGGAAUCAACUUUUGGGCUCUAAGAUAUGAUAUGAAUCUCUCCUUAGGCAUGAGAGAACCCUCUUCCCACUUAAUGACUGGCUCAUUAGAGAAUUUAAACAUAACCUUAUGGGUUCAACAAUCAAAGAAGGCAUAGAAUGAGUGUAACCAGUCCAUCCCCAAUAUGAUAUAAAAAUAAACCAUGUCUAACUCUAUCAGAUAUACCAGAGUUUCUCUGCCACUAUCAGAUACCACAUAACCCCUAUAGAUUCUUCUAGCAACCACAGAGUCACCUACUAGGGUAGAAAUAAAAAGGGAUCAGGGAUACACUCGGGACUAAAACCAAAAUAUAUAGCCAUAAAUGGGGUCACAUAACAAAGAGUAGACCCCGGAUCAAUCAAGAAAUACAUUUCAUGAGAAAAGAGUCGUAACAUACUAGUGACGUCAUUGGGAGAUACCUCAGAGUCCUGGCGGGUAGCAAGGGCAUACAAGUGAUUUCGUCUAGUACCGGUAAUAAAAACAAAAGCAACACCCUUUGGUGCAGGAGCUGGUAAAGUGGCAACAUGAAUCUUAUUUGCCACAAAAGCAACCUUAGAAGGGCAAUUCCAAUGCAAAUAACUAAUCUGACCAUAUUUA